This is a long non-coding RNA of Gallus gallus (chicken), 1894 nucleotides long. The record is from Ensembl. NCBI's taxonomy places the organism in Eukaryota, Metazoa, Chordata, Aves, Galliformes, Phasianidae.
GUAAUUAACUGCGGUUAUUCGGUGCUUAAUUAGCAAUUAAUUGGCGGCUAAUUAGCAUUUCUGACCCUCAGCUAGCCCGCUUUUGUCGGGUUUCGUGUUGUUUGCCGGGCUGCAAAGGGGUUUGAGCAUAGAGUUGUCGCUUUGUUGGGUUUCUUGCUGUUAAUUAGGGGCUAAUGUGGGGGGUUAAUUAAAACGGGGUUAAUUAAGCAGCCCUUAUUGGAGCUGAGCGCGUUUGAAUGGCUUUGAAGGCCAAAAAGCGGCGUGGAAUGGGCUUAAAACUCUCCUAUGCUUUUGAAUGGGGGUCGUGGUGGCUUUGUUAAUUAGCCGCGUGUUAAUGAAGGCCGAACGGGGGGCAGUGGGGAGCAGCAGGUGCAGUUAAUUAGCUCCAGGUGGCGUUAAUUAGCCCAGGUGGACCAUCUCUAUGGUCUUGGAGGACCUUUCCGAGCCCACCCCUCUCCAACUCUAUGGUCUUGGAGGACCUUUCCGUGCCCCCCAACUCUAUGGUCUUGGGGGACCUUUCCGAGCCCCCCAACUCUAUGGUCUUGGAGGACCUUUCCGAGCCCCCCAACUCUAUGGUCUUGGAGGACCUUUCCGAGCCCCCCAACUCUAUGGUCUUGGAGGACCUUUCCUACCUCAAUGGGGUCUUAAUGGGGUUUUAAUUUGGGGUCUUAAUGGGGUUUUAAUUGGGGUCUUAACGGGGCCUUAAUUGGGGCGCUAGUUGGGUUCUUAUGGGGUCCCUAUGGGGUUCUGUGGGGUCGGGGGUGUUGUAGGGUCCCACUGGGGUCUCUAUGGGGUCUCUAUGGGGUCUGAGAGGGUUUAUAGGGUCUCUAUGGGGUCCUAUGGGGUCUUAUGGGGUCCUUUUGGGGUCUGAGAGGGCUUAUAGAGUCUGUAUGGGGUCCUAUAGGGUCCUUAUGGGGUCUAAAAGGGUUUAUAGGGUCUCUAUGGGGUCCUAUGGGAGCUUUAUGGGGUCCUUAUGGGGUCUGAGAGGGCUUAUAGGGUCUUUAUGGGGGCUUAUAGGGUCCUUAUGGGGUCUGAGAGGGCUUAUAGGGUCCUUAUGGGGUCUGAGAGGGUUUAUAGGGUCUUCUGGGGUCUCUAUGGGGUCUGAGAGGGCUUAUAGGGUCUUUAUGGGGUCCUAUAGGGUCUCUAUGGGGUCUUAUGGGGUCUGAGAGGGCUUGUGGGGUCUUUAUGGGGUCCUAUAGGGUUUCUAUGGGGUCUUAUGGGGUCUGAGAGGGCUUAUAGGGUCGUUAUGGGGUCCUAUGGGGUUGCUAUUGGGCUCCUUAUGGGGUCUGAGAGGGCUUAUAGGGUCUUUAUGGGGUUUUAUGGGGUCCUUAUGGAGUCUCUAUGGGGUCUUAUGGGGUCUUUAUGGGAUCUGAGAGAGUUUAUGGGGUCCUUAUGGGGUCCUUAUGGGGUCUGAGAGGGCUUAUAGGGUCCUUAUGGGGUCCUAUGGGGUCUAAGAGGGCUUAUAGGGUCUCUAUGGGGUCUCUAUGGGGUCCUAUAGGGUCCUUAAGGAGUCUAAAAGGGUUUAUAGGAUCUCUGUGGGGUCCUAUAGGGUCUUAUGGGGUCCUUAUGGGGUCUGAGAGGGUUUAUAGGGUCUUUAUGGGGUCCUAUAGGGUUUCUAUGGGAUCUUAUGGGGUCUGAGAGGGUUUAUAGGGUCUUUAUGGGGUCCUAUAGGGUCUCUAUGGGGUUCUAUGGGGUCCUUAUGGGGUCUGAGAGGGCUUAUAGGGUCUUUAUGGGGUCCUUAUGGGGUCUGAGAGGGACGCAUAGGGACUCAUUAAUGACCCUAUAAACUCUCUGGAUCCCGUAAGGACCCCAUAAGGACCCCAUAGAACCCCAUAAGACCUCAUAGAGCCCCAUAGGACCCCAUUGGACCCCAUAGAACACCUUUAAGCCCCCA